GCCUCCCUCCGCCGCCACUCAGACUCCUACCGGAGGGCAGCAGUGGGGAAGUAUUGGACAAUGGGCGCAAGCCUGAUCCAGCCAUGCCGCGUGUGUGAUGAAGGCCUUAGGGUUGUAAAGCACUUUUGUCAGGGAAGAUAAUGACGGUACCUGAAGAAUAAGCACCGGCUAACUUCGUGCCAGCAGCCGCGGUAAUAC
This 198-nucleotide ribosomal RNA is filed under the name uncultured bacterium. RNAcentral's name for it is "partial 16S ribosomal RNA". It matches the Rfam family "Bacterial small subunit ribosomal RNA", at positions 307 to 526 of the family's 1533-position model. The record is from RNAcentral.